Long non-coding RNA from Meriones unguiculatus (Mongolian gerbil), 1193 nucleotides. RefSeq lists it as uncharacterized. The transcript is spliced from 3 exons. Lineage: Eukaryota; Metazoa; Chordata; Mammalia; Rodentia; Muridae. The record is from RefSeq and is a predicted model, not a curated record.
GCAAACCAAGGAGACCAACACCAGAAGGCCUGCUAACGCUCCCAUGCCCGCCCAUUCCUUCAGAUGAUUCCUGGCUGCAGCAAUCCAUGAUGAUAAUCCUGUGGCUAGUCCUGCGUCCACUCUGCCCAGAGCCUGUUGAUGCUGCACUGAGUUCAGAAGCUUGUAUUACCCUAAACAUCUGCCCUUUCUACUCUGGUUUCUGAGAUGCUAGGGGACUGCUGGAGAAAGUCAUAUAAAUACUUGGGGUUCCAUGAAAAGAAGACAUGUUGCAUUACAGAAGUGGAAAACAGUUACCUCCAACACAAGUAUUCAAAGAACAUUACUGAAUAAAAGAUUUGAGUUCUUCUUUAGGAUAUGUGCUCUGGUUUUCUAGCAGACGCUUGUGUCUGAAGUUGUUUCCAAUUGUUCUGAUAGUAACACGCAUCUUCCAAAAGCUCCAGGAUUCCUGUUUCAAGGCCUAGUUUUGAGUAUAUCCUCACUGUUUGUUUGUCUGUUUCAAUAGUCAUAUUUUGGGUUUUUUCUGACAUUGGUUUUGGUGAGACAGUUCUGAUGCAUCUCACUAUGUUUAAGUUUCUGGAUAUGAGGAAGCUGAAGUCAAUUCACUUCCAUUCCUGGGAAAUUGAUCGUCUAAGGUACAGACAGCUUUGCUCCUAGGAAAUGACAAUCUUAAGUGAAUCACAGAACCACCACAUUGCCUGAGAAGUACUUAUGUAUGCCUACAAACAGAAGUAAAAAAAUUAAAGAAAAGCCCCUAUUGUUUGCUACAUACAAAAUUUCGUUAUGUAUAAAUGAACUAUAUUGUUUACUAUUCUUUUACACAGCCUACUUUUCCUCCUAUUUAUUUUGUUGUACUGAGGACUAAAUGUAAGGGGCCAUGCUUGCAAAAAAAUUAAAGCACAAACCCAGUACUUGUUUUUCAUUGUAUUUCAGAUGGGAUCAUGUUAAGUCACACAAGCAGGUUUGGCACUUUUCAUUCUUCUGCUGAGUAGGUGGCAUUACAGGCAUUCCACAGCAGACUCAGCUGCUGUUUGGCUUUCCUUAUUCACUAGUUGUUGAGUAACUUUUUGUUGUUUCAGAACAUGAAGAUUUGGCUUACUCUCCUUGACAUUUGUUAGCUUACCCUUUUUUUUUUAAGUGCAAACAUUGAUUUCAAUGUACACUUCUGUUGACAGCACUACAGGAAACAUGUUUGU